RNAcentral lists this unclassified non-coding RNA (1806 nucleotides) under Hevea brasiliensis (rubber tree). Lineage: Eukaryota; Viridiplantae; Streptophyta; Magnoliopsida; Malpighiales; Euphorbiaceae. The record is from RNAcentral.
AGUUUCAGCAACUAACUGAUUCUCAACUCGUCUUAUCGACCUCUCAAGUGGAGGAUUUGAGGGAGUUGAAAUUGGAAACCUUAGUGCAGGCGCCUUCCACGGCGAUAUUAUCGGAGAACGAUCAGUGUGUAGGUUCACAGGAUAAUUCACCUUUAGAAACGCAUGUGGAAGCUGAAUUCAAGAGGCAAGAUGGGGUGUCACAUGCAAAAGUUUUGGGAAGUGCAACAACCCAGGGGGCUGGAGCUCAGAUCCAAAAUGAGCUUCAAUCUUCUAUAUGCUCAACUUCUUUGUCAAAACUUUCACCAACUUCUGUUACCCAACUGAUUUCAUCUGCUUCAGAUCCAACUUUACCAGAACCAAGACUGUCACCAUCCAAGGCUUAUAAUGCAUCUACACAAGAAGCUGAUAGACAAAAUUCUUCUGAUCUUAAAAGUCUCUCUGCUCCCAUUGUGAAAACACGUAUCCCUGAUGCUUACAACUGGCGGAAAUAUGGUCAGAAGCAAGUGAAGAGUCCUAAAGGUUCUCGAAGUUAUUACAAGUGCACAUUUUCUGACUGUUGUGCCAAAAAGAUUGAAUGCGCAGAUCAUUCAGGCCAUGUGAUCGAGAUUGUUAAUAAAGGAACGCACAGUCAUGAUCCACCUCGAAAGAAUAAGCACACCAGGGAAAUCAAGGUUGCAUUAUCAUCUGGGCCUGUUUUGAGCAAUAGUUUAACAGAACAUUCUGUUAAUGUACUUAAGGAUUUGGAUCAGGCCACAUUGCCGAAAGAAUCUAUGCAGGAAACACCCAUGAUUCCUGACAAAAAACGGCAGAGUUCAAGUGGCUCUGAUGGGAAUGGGAGAAUUCAAAUCAAAGAGGAGCAUGUCAGUGAGCCUGAACCAAAACGAAGAGUGAAGAAGGAGAACUUAGAAUGUUCAGGUACUAUCCUAAAACCUGGAAAGAAGCCAAAAUUUGUUGUGCAUGCAGCAGGUGAUGUGGGAAUCUCAGGUGAUGGGUACAGAUGGCGCAAAUAUGGACAAAAAAUGGUGAAGGGAAAUCCCCAUCCCAGGAACUAUUAUAGAUGCACAUCUGCUGGAUGCCCUGUUCGUAAGCACAUUGAAACAGCAGUAGGUAACACAAACGCAGUCGUUAUAACCUACAAGGGAGUACAUGAUCAUGACAUGCCCGUACCAAAAAAGCGACACGGUCCGCCUAGUGCUCCCCUUGUAGCUGCCGCUGCUCCUGCUUCUAUGAACAAUUUGCAACUCAAGAAAACGGAUACAUUACAGAAACAAGUAACUUCAACCCAGUGGUCAGUGGGAAAGGAAGGUGAGUUAACCAGUGAAACCUUAGACCUCGGAGGUGAGAAGGAGAAAGCAAUGGAAUCAGCCCGAACUCUUCUAAGCAUUGGAUUUGAAAUCAAGCCUUGCUGAUAGACCCUUUCUCUAGACUAUGGCAAGAUGAAAAGAUUAUCUAUGCACAGGCUUCCAUUGAAAAUCGCGUAGCUGUUUAGGUUUGAAUUAUCAGGUUUGAUUUGAUUUUAUUUUUUUUCUCCUUAUUCUCUCUUUCUUUUUUCAGACAUUUGCAUAUUUGGUAUUGUACACAAUCAGGAAGCGUUUGGAACAUAGUAAGCUGAUAGUAUUGGAACAUAGAAUUGGUUGGCACCAAUUUUUCCCUCUCUUGGUUGGGACCCAUUUCAAUAUCUCCAUUUUAGGAGCGGCUUCUCAUAUGUUUGCCACAGAUUUGCAAGUGUUAUUAAGAUGGGCAGUUGAUAGCUUUAAAAGUUAGGUGAUGAAAUUGGUCGAACAGGGAAGCAGCAAAUCUGUUGAA